GAUGAAGAACGUAGCGAAAUGCGAUACUUGGUGUGAAUUGCAGAAUCCCGUGAACCAUCGAGUCUUUGAACGCAAGUUGCGCCUCAAGCCAUUAGGUUGAGGGCACGUCUGCCUGGGCGUCACAUAUCGUUGCCUGAUGCCAGUUUCCUCGUGAUGGGUGACUGUGCAGGGCGAAUGAUGGCUUCCCGUGAGCAUUGUUGCCUCAUGGUUGGUUGAAAAUUGAGUCCUUGGUAGGGAGCGCCGUGAUAGAUGGUGGGUGAGUGACGAACGAGACCCAAUCAUGUGAGACCCCUACCGAAUUUGGCCUUCAUGACCCACAUGCGUCUUUGGAACGCUCAUGACGAGACCUCAGGUCAGGCGGGGCUACCCGCUGAGUUUAAGCAUAUCAAUAAGCGGAGGA
Molecule: unclassified non-coding RNA, 400 nt
Filed under: soil metagenome
Description: partial contains 5.8S ribosomal RNA, internal transcribed spacer 2, and large subunit ribosomal RNA
Rfam family: 5.8S ribosomal RNA (bases 1-122)
Source: RNAcentral